AAAGGAUAAGAGAGCAGCUCAAGUUAGAGGUUCUCAAGGUGCAGUGGCUAAAGAGGCAGCGAGCAAUAGCGAUGCAAAAUCAAACCAGCCAGCUAAUCCAAAAGGAGCCUCUCAGCAUGCAGGCAAUGUGCAAUCGAAGGCUUCAUCCAAAUCUUCCAGGAAGAAAUCAAGGAAGUAAUCCAACAACAGAUAACCUAUGUUUCUUUGUUAUUGUUUCGGUGGAUUCUUUUUUCCUGAUUCGUUUAGCAUUUUUGUUGUACAAUCCAUUUAUCUAUGGGAAACUUUUUGUACUUUUCAUACAUAAGGUUGUAGGUGAGGGGCAUUGUUGCUUGCAUCUGAAGUUAACCUACCUUAAUCAGA
Molecule: unclassified non-coding RNA, 360 nt
Filed under: Hevea brasiliensis (rubber tree)
Lineage: Eukaryota; Viridiplantae; Streptophyta; Magnoliopsida; Malpighiales; Euphorbiaceae
Source: RNAcentral